Molecule: non-coding RNA, 692 nt
Organism: Leptonychotes weddellii (Weddell seal)
Lineage: Eukaryota; Metazoa; Chordata; Mammalia; Carnivora; Phocidae
Source: RefSeq, a predicted model, not a curated record
GAUAGGAGGGGGAAAUCUAUUUAAAAAAAAAAAAAAUCAGGAGCAUCUCUCUGAGAAACCCUUUUAAACAAAAUCAAAACAGGACCAGAGAACCUCAGACCGACCCUAACAUCCCUGCUGUGAGGCCCGCGGGCUGUGGAAUCACGCACGUCACCUGGCCCCAGCAGGGCGGCCAGCUGAGGGGUUCUUUUUAUUUUAUUUUCCUUUAUUUUUUGAAGUUAAGGCUGAAUCUGGGCUUCAGUGCUUUGCCAACGUCUCCACUGACAGGAACCAGCAAACUUCAGGACUCAAAUGAGCGUCUUAAUUUAUUGAUGCAAAACAGGUCUGCUUGUCGCCCCCAAUUCUCGGCGCGCUCGGUUCCCCACGCCCCCAGCUUCGAUCCCUCCAUUCGAUCUCAGGGUCAAAAAGUGGAACAUUGAGACAAUGGACAAAUAAUUAAGACAUGGUACUUAAGGUGUUGACAAGCAUCAGAGAAAACAGUGAAGGAGCUGAGCCUAGGUCACACAGGAAUUCUAGAGAUGGCCACCGGAAGUGGGGAAGGAGAUAAAGCCAAAUGCCCCACUAAUUCUGACCACCUUGCAAACGCUUGUGGUUUUUCACAGAAGAAUCAGAGAAGACUAUCAGGAUGAAUUCUGAGCAUCUUCACCUGGAUUUUCAUGGAUGUGAAGAUGUAAGUGGGGAGUGAUUAAGGU